CUAACACAUGCAAGUCGAGCGGUAACAGGGGUAGCUUGCUACCCGCUGACGAGCGGCGGACGGGUGAGUAAUGCAUAGGAAUCUGCCCGAUAGUGGGGGAUAACCUGGGGAAACCCAGGCUAAUACCGCAUACGUCCUACGGGAGAAAGGGGGCUUCGGCUCCCGCUAUUGGAUGAGCCUAUGUCGGAUUAGCUAGUUGGUGAGGUAAUGGCUCACCAAGGCAACGAUCCGUAGCUGGUCUGAGAGGAUGAUCAGCCACAUCGGGACUGAGACACGGCCCGAACUCCUACGGGAGGCAGCAGUGGGGAAUAUUGGACAAUGGGGGCAACCCUGAUCCAGCCAUGCCGCGUGUGUGAAGAAGGCCCUCGGGUUGUAAAGCACUUUCAGCGAGGAAGAACGCCUAUCGGUUAAUACCCGGUGGGAAAGACAUCACUCGCAGAAGAAGCACCGGCUAACUCCGUGCCAGCAGCCGCGGUAAUACGGAGGGUGCAAGCGUUAAUCGGAAUUACUGGGCGUAAAGCGCGCGUAGGUGGCUUGAUAAGCCGGUUGUGAAAGCCCCGGGCUCAACCUGGGAACGGCAUCCGGAACUGUCAGGCUAGAGUGCAGGAGAGGAAGGUAGAAUUCCCGGUGUAGCGGUGGAAAUGCGU
This 647-nucleotide ribosomal RNA is filed under the name uncultured bacterium. Its description in RNAcentral is "bacterial SSU rRNA". It matches the Rfam family "Bacterial small subunit ribosomal RNA", at positions 48 to 691 of the family's 1533-position model. The record is from RNAcentral.